RNAcentral lists this ribosomal RNA (723 nucleotides) under uncultured Alphaproteobacteria bacterium. RNAcentral describes it as "bacterial SSU rRNA". It matches the Rfam family "Bacterial small subunit ribosomal RNA", at positions 94 to 854 of the family's 1533-position model. The record is from RNAcentral. Lineage: Bacteria; Pseudomonadati; Pseudomonadota; Alphaproteobacteria.
AGUGGCAGACGGGUGAGUAACAUGUGGGUAUCUACCCUUUGGCCUGGAAUAACACGAGGAAACUUGUGCUAAUACUGGAUAAGUCUUUACGGAGAAAGCUUUAUGCACCAUUGGAUGAGCCCGCACUUGAUUAGUUUGUUGGUAGGGUAAUGGCCUACCAAGACUAUGAUCAAUAGCUGAUUUGAGAGGAUGAUCAGCCACAUUGGGACUGAGACACGGCCCAAACUCCUACGGGAGGCAGCAGUGGGGAAUCUUGCACAAUGGAGGAAACUCUGAUGCAGCGAUGCCGCGUGAGUGAAGAAGGCCUUUGGGUUGUAAAGCUCUUUCGUCGGGGAAGAAAAUGACUGUACCCGAAUAAGAAGGUCCGGCUAACUUCGUGCCAGCAGCCGCGGUAAUACGAAGGGACCUAGCGUAGUUCGGAAUUACUGGGCUUAAAGAGUUCGUAGGUGGUUGAAAAAGUUGGUGGUGAAAUCCCAGAGCUUAACUCUGGAACUGCCAUCAAAACUUUUCAGCUAGAGUAUGAUAGAGGAAAGCAGAAUUUCUAGUGUAGAGGUGAAAUUCGUAGAUAUUAGAAAGAAUACCAAUUGCGAAGGCAGCUUUCUGGAUCAUUACUGACACUGAGGAACGAAAGCAUGGGUAGCGAAGAGGAUUAGAUACCCUCGUAGUCCAUGCCGUAAACGAUGUGUGUUAGACGUUGGAAAUUUAUUUUCAGUGUCGCAGGGA